Molecule: non-coding RNA, 70 nt
Organism: Salmo salar (Atlantic salmon)
Lineage: Eukaryota; Metazoa; Chordata; Actinopteri; Salmoniformes; Salmonidae
Source: Rfam
AGGACAGCUGGUGUUGUGAAUCAGGCCGCUAUAGUGCCAGACACGGCUUCUUCCCAACACCAGGGUCACA